Molecule: ribosomal RNA, 320 nt
Filed under: uncultured bacterium
Lineage: Bacteria
Description: bacterial SSU rRNA
Rfam family: Bacterial small subunit ribosomal RNA
Source: RNAcentral
GACGAACGCUGGCGGCGUGCCUAAUACAUGCAAGUCGAACGCACUGACAGAGAAACUUGUUUCUCUUGACGUGAGUGGCGCACGGGUGAGUAACACGUGGGAAACCUACCCUUCAGCGGGGGAUAACCGUCGGAAACGAUGGCUAAUACCGCAUAGGUCUUUUAACCGCCUGGUUGAAAGAGGAAAGACGGCCUCGGCUGCCACUGAAGGAUGGUCCCGCGGUGCAUUAGCUAGUUGGUGAGGUAACGGCUCACCAAGGCCACGAUGCAUAGCCGACCUGAGAGGGUGAUCGGCCACACUGGGACUGAGACACGGCCCAG